This 23-nucleotide small nuclear RNA is filed under the name Arabidopsis thaliana (thale cress). RNAcentral describes it as "snRNA_17831". The record is from RNAcentral. Lineage: Eukaryota; Viridiplantae; Streptophyta; Magnoliopsida; Brassicales; Brassicaceae.
AUGAACCGGAAGCCGGGUUACGG